ACUGAACGCUGGCGGCAUGCCUUACACAUGCAAGUCGAACGGUAACGGGUCCUUCGGGAUGCCGACGAGUGGCGAACGGGUGAGCAAUAUAUCGGAACGUGCCCAGUAGUGGGGGAUAACUGCUCGAAAGAGCAGCUAAUACCGCAUACGACCUGAGGGUGAAAGGGGGGGAUCGCAAGACCUCUCGCUAUUGGAGCGGCCGAUAUCAGAUUAGCUAGUUGGUGGGGUAAGGGCCUACCAAGGCAACGAUCUGUAGUUGGUCUGAGAGGACGACCAGCCACACUGGGACUGAGACACGGCCCAGACUCCUACGGGAGGCAGCAGUGGGGAAUUUUGGACAAUGGGCGCAAGCCUGAUCCAGCAAUGCCGCGUGCAGGAAGAAGGCCUUCGGGUUGUAAACUGCUUUUGUCAGGGAAGAAAUCUUCUGGGCUAAUACCCCGGGAGGAUGACGGUACCUGAAGAAUAAGCACCGGCUAACUACGUGCCAGCCGCCGCUGUAA
This 500-nucleotide ribosomal RNA is filed under the name uncultured bacterium. RNAcentral describes it as "partial 16S ribosomal RNA". It matches the Rfam family "Bacterial small subunit ribosomal RNA", at positions 30 to 523 of the family's 1533-position model. The record is from RNAcentral.